RNAcentral lists this long non-coding RNA (1322 nucleotides) under Cyanistes caeruleus (blue tit). RNAcentral's name for it is "lncRNA (ENSCCEG00000004463.1)". The record is from RNAcentral. Lineage: Eukaryota; Metazoa; Chordata; Aves; Passeriformes; Paridae.
AUCAUAUCCACCCUUCCCACAGCUGAGCUAGUAGGGCUGUGCUUUCUGAGAGGAAUUCAACAGAAAAACGUUCCAUCUUUUGUCCCCUGGAAGAAGCACCAGUUUUUGGAGCAAUCUGUCUUCAAAUGUUUCUGUGAAAUUUUCCUUUUAGUUCUUGAUCCUGCUCAGACACAUCAGACCGAUACAAAACCCCCUGAGUAACGUCACCAGCCUCAGCAGAAUGUCUAAACUCUCUAAACUCCAACUUUGCGUUAUCACACCAUAACUACAUUAAAAUUAUGAACAUGAUGAUGGCAGGUUCUAGGUCACUGGCUUUCAAUCUUCCUGCUUAGGGCUGACCAUAGCAUUUGUCUGUAUUUUCUUGUCUCAGGGACUCCGUGUUUCCUUAAGGGACCAAGCUCUUGCUCUCCACAGCUCCUUGGAGCUGAAGGUGCUCGCCCACACUGAGUGAGACACUGUUACGUUUCUAUUUGCAGAUAUGCUGCUGUGAUGGAAAUUUCUGUUCCAACACACUUCCACACCGAGAGAAAUAGAGGAAAAAGAAAAGAAAAAGGAGUCAAAAGCCAGAAGGCCUCAUUUAAAUGCCAGUGUGGCAACCAAAGAGCAAGUGCCGUGGGUGCUGUGCAGCCAGACCUGGAGCACCAGGGCCAUCCAUCUGCCUCAGGAGUCCUGCUUCCAUCCUUGGAGUGUGCAUCCUUCCAUCCUCCAGUGUGCACCGGCACUUCAGAUUGAGGUAAGGACAGCACUGAAUAGGGGAAAAAGAGCAGGAGCUAUUCCCUCCAUUGAAUAUUGGCACCACCACGUGACACAUUCACUUGAAGACGAGCACAAAGGGAUUACAACACAAUUGUCCCCGGACAGAACAGAAACCAAGCUUCUCCUGCUGCUCUGGCCGGUCCCUAAACACAAGAAGGAGCUGUAGGUUUUCUCCAUCGCUGCUGGUGCAGCUGAAGCCUUAAGUUCCUUAAGCCUUUCCUGUUUCCAUCGCUGCUGGUGCAGCUGAAGCCUUAAGUUCCUUAAGCCUUUCCUGUUUCCCUGAGUUGUCUCUGAUUUCCAUCACCUCAGAAUGGGCAUCUGUGGCACGAUGAUGAGAAAGGGCAGCAUUUUCCUUGGGAAACAGCCAGAAAAGAACAGGAGCAGGUCCCAGACUGGGGGCUGCCCCUUGCAGGGAUUGUGUGUCAGCUCUGUUAGAAUUGCUAAUUAUUUAGGCACCUAAUUGGCUCUGAGGAGUGGAGGGGGAGAGAUGGAAAUGCAAGCCCUGGGCUGAAGGCCGUGCCCGAGGUGUGCCCAGCUCCCUGCACACCUUUUCCCCCCAGGUGCAG